Mesocricetus auratus (golden hamster) is the source of this 1800-nucleotide long non-coding RNA. RefSeq lists it as uncharacterized. The transcript has 2 exons. The record is from RefSeq and is a predicted model, not a curated record. NCBI's taxonomy places the organism in Eukaryota, Metazoa, Chordata, Mammalia, Rodentia, Cricetidae.
UCUUUAUGAUGGGAGAGUCUAGUGACUUCAUGAAGAAAGGAGCUGGCUUUGAACAGUAUGGCUCUGCACCAGCCAACACCAAGCAUGGCCUGAAGCCACCAAAAUCACAAAGAGACAAGAAAGGGUUCUGUCUCAAAGCUUCAGGGGCUCACAGCUCGGCUGACACUUUGAUUUUGGCUUUCUAGCCUGGAGCCCUGUAAGUCAACAAACUGCUACUGUCUGUGAGGCUUUUUAUUUUCUUUUUUUUUUCUUUGCUGUGACCUAGGAAACAGACAUGCUGAGAACCGGUAAAUUGCUGUUUGCUCAGCAAUGAACUGUUGGCUGCUCGUACAAAGACCCGGUGCCACACAGAGCUUUUGUAUGCAAAUGGGACCUCACCUUUCCAAACUGUGAAUAAAGAAGCUGAAGAGAAGGGAAAAUGGGGACAUGUGUCCCUCUUCCAUAAGAACUCCCACCGGAGAGAAAGGGGUAACAGGCAAAGGCACCUGCCACUUGGCCCCACCACCAAAAACCACCAGAGAGUUUUGCCAUUUUAACACAUGGCCCUUGCCAUGGUUAAGUAAACUCGAAAACUCUUCACUGGAGGCCAAAUUUGCCGGGCUGCUCACAAUAAAUUGGCCCCAGGCAGAUACCCAGCUGCGGUCCAUCACAACCUGGAACGGGACAUUAACUUCUGAGAGGCCCCUGCGGUUCGUAGAGUCCCUAGCUUCCUCGACCAUCAGGAAGAAUCUUGGAAACCUAAGUCAGAGCAGGGCUCUGGCAUGAGCAUCCUCCGAGAUCCGCCAAGCAUGGAUAAUGGCUUUGGAGACCCUUGGAGCUCCAUCUAUAUUCAGCUCAUAUUUUAUAAGAUGCUCCUGGCUGGGGCCUGAGCAAGUUACAGCCACACAAGGGCCCAGCAGGGCAGUGGCAGCCUUACGUCUCCCCUACCCCCACAGCCCAGCUGUGGUGAGCACCUACAGCAAGUGUGCAGUGCAGGCAGAACCACAAACUGCUCCUCAGUCUGGGCUCUUGGUGCGGUAACUAUCUCAUGGAAGAAACGGAGACAGCACACACGUUAGGAAUAGGUACCCUGUGUGGGACACGCUAGCUUCCUUUAGUGACAUGCAACCAGCAGCCCCACUACAACGUGUUGCUGGGGGGGUCUGUAAUGAGGAUGGAAGGAUUCUUCACAUACAAAAAGAAAUAAAUAAUACAUCAUUUUAAAAAAACAGCAAAUACAACCUUUCUGGUAUUCACAGCCCAACCUCCUGCAGAAUCCACUGACUGACUGCAAGCUCAUCUUACCCAUACUUAUGUUGUCGCAUCUGUAGAGAAAGGCACAUUGGUUUUACUAGAACAGAGGUUGCCUACAACACCUGUGUUAGAAGUGUUCUCAUUCCCAACUGAAAACAAGAAAACAUCAAACAAGCAAACAAAACAGCCCUAGAUUUGUUGAAAGGAAUGUGGUGAUGGUUAGUUUAAAAUGCUAACUUGCCACAAAAAAGAAUCCUCUGACAAGGAAAUGUGUCAGCUCAAGAAUUAUCUAAAUCAUGUUGGUCUGCAGGAAUGUCUGUGAGGGAAUGUCUUAAUUGUCAAUGGAUGAGGGAGGACCCAGCCCAGCCCACUGUUGGCAACACCAUUCCCUAGCCAGGCGAUCUUAAACUACACAAAGAAGCAAUCAAGCAGGCAGCAUGGGUGUGCCCCCUUUCUGUGCUCUUGACUGUGUGUGAUGUGACCCACUGCCUGAGUUCCUGCCUUGACUUGCUUCCUAUGACGACUGGGACCUGACAUUGUAAGCCAAAUAAACGUUUCCCUUCCCUA